CAAGCAAUAGAAAUUCACAAAAAUAAUAUAAUUUUAAUCGGUUACAGUUAAAAAAAGAGGGAUUUUUAAUUUCUCUAGUGUCGAUGCCGCUGAUUUCUCGGCAAUGUCGCUCUCCUCUCAAUCCCCAUACCCGAGAGAUGUUGAUCCUCCUCCAGGCGUAAGCCUCGCUCUUUUCUCUUCUCCUCUAUUCUUUCCCUUGCCCCUUUCAACAAAAUUUCGGAUUCCAUGUCCUCUCCCUUCUUCUGUUUCGAUCCUGCCAAUCCAUUACUUCCCAUGCAGUUCCAGCAAUGGCAGCUCUGAGGCUCAUUACAUCCACUGUUAAUACAUAGAGAGCGAUAGAUAUAGAAAUUAAGAAUCAGGAGAUCGUACGGUAUAGGGUGGAUUGGUGUUUAUUGAUUCUCGUAAAAGCAAUUUUGCCUUUUGGAUCUGUGGGAUUUGCGAUUCUGAAUGUGGCCUUCGUGGGUGGAAAUAAGGAGAGAGGUGAUUGAACGGGUAUGGAUGUAUAUAGCUAAAUUUCUUCAUUUGGGUUUUUUAAGUUCCGGUUGUCCAUUGUAGAGUGAAUUUUGAAAAUAGAGAUUUUUUUUCUUUUUUUUAAUGUGUAUAAAUGUGCUAGGUUUGAUUGAGAAUGAAGUGAGAGGGUUGCGGGCAUUUUAUCUA
This is a long non-coding RNA of Hevea brasiliensis (rubber tree), 657 nucleotides long. RefSeq lists it as uncharacterized. The record is from RefSeq and is a predicted model, not a curated record. The transcript has 2 exons. Lineage: Eukaryota; Viridiplantae; Streptophyta; Magnoliopsida; Malpighiales; Euphorbiaceae.